UACAGAGGUCUCAAGCGUUGUUCGGAUUCAUUGGGCGUAAAGGGUGCGUAGGCGGCGCGGUAAGUCGGGUGUGAAAUCUUGGAGCUUAACUCCGAAGCUGCAUUCGAUACUGCCGUGCUUGAGGACUGGAGAGGAGACUGGAAUUUACGGUGUAGCGGUGAAAUGCGUAGAUAUCGUAAGGAAGACCAGUGGCGAAGGCGGGUCUCUGGACAGUUCCUGACGCUGAGGCACGAAGGUCAGGGGAGCAAACGGG
RNAcentral lists this ribosomal RNA (253 nucleotides) under uncultured bacterium. RNAcentral describes it as "partial 16S ribosomal RNA". It matches the Rfam family "Bacterial small subunit ribosomal RNA", at positions 524 to 776 of the family's 1533-position model. The record is from RNAcentral.